This 253-nucleotide ribosomal RNA is filed under the name uncultured bacterium. RNAcentral describes it as "partial 16S ribosomal RNA". It matches the Rfam family "Bacterial small subunit ribosomal RNA", at positions 524 to 776 of the family's 1533-position model. The record is from RNAcentral.
UACGGGGGGGGUAAGCGUUGUUCGGAAUUACUGGGCGUAAAGCGCACGUAGGCGGCUUUCUAAGUCGGGGGUGAAAUCCUGGAGCUCAACUCCAGAACUGCCUUCGAUACUGGAAAGCUCGAGUCCGGGAGAGGUGAGUGGAACUGCGAGUGUAGAGGUGAAAUUCGUAGAUAUUCGCAAGAACACCAGUGGCGAAGGCGGCUCACUGGCCCGGUACUGACGCUGAGGUGCGAAAGCGUGGGGAGCAAACAGG